UACGUAGGGUGCAGGCGUUAAUCGGAAUUACUGGGCGUAAAGCGUGCGCAGGCGGCUCCUUAAGUCAGAUGUGAAAUCCCCGGGCUUAACCUGGGAACUGCGUUUGAAACUGGGGGGCUUGAGUGUGGAAGAGGGGGGUGGAAUUCCAGGUGUAGCAGUGAAAUGCGUAGAGAUCUGGAGGAACACCGAUGGCGAAGGCAGCCCCCUGGGCUAACACUGACGCUCAUGCACGAAAGCGUGGGGAGCAAACAGG
This 253-nucleotide ribosomal RNA is filed under the name uncultured bacterium. RNAcentral describes it as "partial 16S ribosomal RNA". It matches the Rfam family "Bacterial small subunit ribosomal RNA", at positions 524 to 776 of the family's 1533-position model. The record is from RNAcentral.